AGAGCGAACGCUGGCGGCAGGCCUAACACAUGCAAGUCGAACGGACCCUUCGGGGUUAGUGGCGGACGGGUGAGUAACACGUGGGAACGUGCCUUUAGGUUCGGAAUAGCUCCUGGAAACGGGUGGUAAUGCCGAAUGUGCCCUUCGGGGGAAAGAUUUAUCGCCUUUAGAGCGGCCCGCGUCUGAUUAGCUUGUUGGUGAGGUAAUGGCUCACCAAGGCUACGAUCAGUAGCUGGUCUGAGAGGAUGACCAGCCACAUUGGGACUGAGACACGGCCCAAACUCCUACGGGAGGCAGCAGGUGGGAAUCUUGCGCAAUGGGCGAAAGCCUGACGCAGUCCAUGCCGCGUGUAUGAUGAAGGUCUAGGUAUUAGUAAAUCUUUCACGGUGAAGAUAAUGACUGUAGCCGAGAACGACGCCCGGAUAACGUCGUGCCAGCAGCCGAC
Molecule: ribosomal RNA, 445 nt
Filed under: uncultured soil bacterium
Lineage: Bacteria
Description: bacterial SSU rRNA
Rfam family: Bacterial small subunit ribosomal RNA
Source: RNAcentral